RNAcentral lists this ribosomal RNA (504 nucleotides) under uncultured bacterium. RNAcentral describes it as "bacterial SSU rRNA". It matches the Rfam family "Bacterial small subunit ribosomal RNA", at positions 26 to 518 of the family's 1533-position model. The record is from RNAcentral.
UGGCUCGAGGACGAACGCUGGCGGCGUGCCUAACACAUGCAAGUCGAGCGGAGUUGACAAGAGGAAGUUUCGGAUGGAAUUUGUUAAUUUAGCGGCGGACGGGUGAGUAACGCGUGAGCGACCAACCUUGCACAGGGGGAUAACGGACCGAAAGGUUCACUAAUACCGCAUGAGACCACGGUGUUGCAUGACACAGGGGUCAAAGGAGCAAUCCGGUGCAAGACGGGCUCGCGUCCGAUUAGGUAGUUGGAGGGGUAACGGCCCACCAAGCCUAUGAUCGGUAGCCGACCUGAGAGGGUGAUCGGCCACAUUGGAACUGAGAUACGGUCCAAACUCCUACGGGAGGCAGCAGUGGGGAAUACUGGGCAAUGGGGGGAAAAACCCCUGACCCAGCAACGCCGCGUGAAGGAAGAAGGUUUUCGGAUUGUAAACUUCUGUCCUUGGUGAAGAGAAGAAGACGGUAGCCAAGGAGGAAGCCCCGGCUAACUACGUGCCAGCCGCAGC